UUCGCAAUGCCCGAAAGGGUGACGAAGCGACGCCGCGUGAGUGAGGAAGGCCUUCGGGUUGUAAAGCCCUGUCAGGAGUUAAGAAAUGUAAAUGUGUUAAUACCCCGUUUAUUUGACGAAGGCUCCAAAGGAAGCCACGGCUAACUCUGUGCCAGCAGCCGCGGUAAUACAGAGGUGGCAAGCGUUGAUCGGAAUUAUUGGGCGUAAAGAGCACGUAGGUGGGUUUGUAAGUCAGAUGUGAAAGCCUUCUGUUCAACGGAAGAAUUGCAUCUGGAACUGCAAAUCUUGGGUAUAGGAGGGGAGAAUGGAACUUCUGGUGGAGCGGUGAAAUGCGUAGAUAUCAGAAGGAACGCCGGCGGCGAAAGCGAUUCUCUGGUCUAUUACUGACACUCAGUGUGCGAAAGCUAGGGGAGCAAACGGGAUUAGAUACCCCGGUAGUCCUAGCUGUAAACGAUGGGCACUAAGUAGAGGGGUUUU
This 477-nucleotide ribosomal RNA is filed under the name uncultured anaerobic ammonium-oxidizing bacterium. RNAcentral's name for it is "bacterial SSU rRNA". It matches the Rfam family "Bacterial small subunit ribosomal RNA", at positions 365 to 832 of the family's 1533-position model. The record is from RNAcentral.